Long non-coding RNA from Cylas formicarius (sweet potato weevil), 6131 nucleotides. RefSeq lists it as uncharacterized. The transcript has 13 exons. Lineage: Eukaryota; Metazoa; Arthropoda; Insecta; Coleoptera; Brentidae. The record is from RefSeq and is a predicted model, not a curated record.
CCAAUGUCGCGGUAGAUGACAUUAAUUUGCUAAUUUUAAAUCGGAAAAUCAUUGGUGAGCCAAGGUACUACCACUCGGUCGACGAGUAUGCCGGCAAUGCGGCGACCGAGGAUGAUGAAUUUCACGUCCCUUUGGACGUCGUUCAUCGGAUCUCGGCGUCCAACCUUCCGCCACAUGAGCUCGUGCUCAAGACGGGAGCGGUUGUCGUCCUCCUUAAAAACCUAGACGUCCGGCAUGGACAGUGCAACGGCACCAGAAUGAUGAUUGUGCGUCUCGGCCAGGAAGUUUUGGAAGUCAAGGUUUUAUCGGGUCCCCGCAAAGGGGAGACCAUCAACUUGCCCAAAAUUGAAAUUACAUCGAGCGUUCCGGAACUUCCUCGCCCGAUCAAGAGAGUGCAGUUUCCCAUACGGCUGGCAUUCGCCAUGACGAUUAACAAAAGUCAAGGACAGACGUACGCAAGAGUAGGAAUCCAUUUGCCAAGCCCGUGUUUCGCGCACGGACAGCUUUAUGUGGCCUUCUCUAGGACUCUAGGGUGGGCUCGCCUGAAGAUGUGCGUGUCGUGAUCGAAAACACGGCAAGUCAAGGCGCUUUCAGACGCAGAGACGGAGUUAAAUUGACGCAUAACGUCGUUUACUCCAACAUUUUUAACAACCCCGAACCACUUCGACAACGGUUACCCUGGAAUCCUACUCGUGCGAUUAUUGGGGGUCAGGGUGAAGUCGUGCUUCCGGCACGCACGUCACCCUCUCCACCAACGUCUAACGAACCGACCAGUACUUCGUUCGAACAAGACGACGAUUUUUUCGAUUCACUAGAUUUGACCGAUAUUAUUAUGGACGUACUGAGACACGGACCCACACCCAGGAUUCUUCCGAUCCCCAGGCUGUACGAUAAUGUCGUGAUCAAUCCAUAUAACGAUCGACAAUUGUUUGAACGAGUCUCGCGCGAUAAUCGUCCCGGAACAUCGGGGACAACCACGACAUUAUUUCCAUUUCAAAAGUGAAAUUAAAACUCUUUUUUUCAAAUUUAAUAUAUUUUUUUUCAAAGUACACAUUUACACCUUCGUUAAUGCUGCCGUUAUAACAACGACAUUUACUUAUCAUCAAUAUUGUAUAUCUUCAACAAAUAGUUUUUUUUUAUUAUUACAACCUUCUUAUUGUUAUUUCACUCUAUGAAUUUCACUUUUUUAUUCAAUAUUUAAUUACCUUUUUCACAGUUUUCUUUUAAAUUAGUCGUUGAUUAUAUUUGUUUACAAUAACAUGUUCAUAUUUCUCUCGUAAAGCAAUUUAUAUAAAUUAAUUUUUUUUAAAUUUUGCAUUAUAUAACUUCAUUAAAUUUUCUCAAUUCAACAAAUAUUCUAUUAUAUAAAUUUUUAAAUUAAUUGCCCCUUAGUUUGUAAGUUCAUUGCUGAAUUUCUUUUUUAUUGCAACAUAUUGUUUAAUGUAAAACAAUUCAGCAAUGGACAUUUUUUUUAUUUUUUUUUCAUAUCACUCUCUAUAAAGCACAUUAUUAACUUAAUUUUAAAUUUAUAAUCUCCGAUAUAACGAUUUCAAUUGCACUCGGUUUCUCUAUAUUUUCAUUUCAAGUUUUGGUAAAAAAUAAAAAAAAUAUCCAUUGCUGACGUUUAUUUUCGUUGGAAGAACAUUUGAAAAGAAAUGCGCUAGGCAAUGCUGAUGAGUCUCAACAAAGACGAAACAUUUUUUUUAUUAUUCCAAUGGGCAUCUACAUUGUCAGAUUUCUAACCUCAUCGUUAGUUGUGAGGUUAUCCGAUACGAUGUCUACGAUAAGAAGAACAAAUACCGAUAAAUUACAAGAUACUCGUCGAUCGUGCGAAGAAGGUGCUUCGAAAAUUCGUUUCAAGCAGAAAGAACUACAUUUUACAUAUAACAGAUAGAAAGUAAACCAUUAUCGACAAUUGUUUUAUGAAAAAUGUCUUGGACCAAUCAUUGCAAAGGGAUAACUUCAUUGAAGAAACUACUAUUGCAACGAGGACCAACAUCAUCUAGACAUAAAGGAAUAUUCCGAAAAAAAGCAUCACUUAUAUAAAUAUAUCUAAAUAUAACAAAUGGACAACAAAUCACCAUCGACAACGUAAUGAAAAGAAAAAAAAAGUUUCAGUGAAUAAAUGUUAUCAGAACUCGAUAGGAAUCUGUCGAAUCAAGCAAGAAAUACAUUAUUUGGAUAAACAAAUUUUAAUUUAACAACUGAAAAACAAAUAUAUACAAAGCGUAAAUCUACGCCAUCUAUCAAGAAAUUUCGGAAUUACAGAUUCCUUUUUACUUCUUUAAGAAAAUAAUGUAAAACAAUAUCAAAACAUCAUGAUGAAAUCAACAAAAAUUGUAAUGUCUUUCCAUCGUAUAUAAUUACUUUAUUUGUCAAAUCAACAAUAAUAAUACAUAAUCCUAAUUGUAAUAUUAAUGACAAUUUUAAAUUUAUGACGUCAUCAACAGUUGUGGGAUUAUUUGAUGCGGUUUUACAAUGCCUUUCCAAGUUUCAAACUAUGGUAAAUUCGAACACAGUUAAACAUAGAAAAUGUCAAAAAGGGUAAAUGUCGACGAAUUUUUAAAUUUUGGAAUGUCAUCGUCAAUCGCGGAAAAAUGCAUCACUGGGGUUUAUUUCCAAGAGAAACAAAUACAUUUUACAAAUUAAAGGAUUCAAAAAAUUGCAGAAAGAGAAUUGAUACAAGAACUAGAUGUUUCACUAUCCCUAAUAACGAAAUAUCCAAAUAUUCGUUUUAUUUAUUUCGGAAAUGCAAAAAAAGCUGACGUCCCAGGUAUGGGUUUAGACCAUUGAAGAGCCACUUGAGAGAGCUUCAAAAUGACGUACUACUCAAUCACCUUGAAGCGGUCGAGAAUGUGUAAAACUACCCCCAAUACUAAAAUAACCAAAUGUUUAUUUUAUUAAUUUCGGACUCGCAAAAAAAGCUGACGUCCCAGGUAACAAAUUAGGCCAUUGAAAAACCGCUUAGAAGAGGCUAGUUUAACAGCAAAAUUUAUCAUCAAUGAGUUAUCAAUAAAACGACUUCUGAUAACUUCAAGAGAAAUUACCAUAAGAAAUUUAAAUAAACCAUCAUUGCCAAUUUGGAAAGAAAAUUAUCCAAGUAAAAUAUUAUUUGGAUAAAUGGAUAUAAACACAGUUGCGACGUUAUCCAAUACGGUUCUGCAGUGCCCUUCCGAAUUUGAAUCUAUGGUAUACACAACCAUAUUCGAACACGAAGAAGAGUCGUUGAAGACGCCGAGAUGAGAACAAGAUUUUGGAAUAUCGUCGUUCAUCGCGCAAAGAAUACAUCGCGGGGAUUUAUUUUGAGAAGAAACAGAAAUAUUUCAUACAUAACAUUUGAUUAGGAUACCCAAGAAAUUACGCAAAAGCAAAACAAUACAGAUAAUAGAAAAGUGAGCAUACAGAAAAAUAUUUGAUAUGAUUCAACAACAAGGUGUUUAGUCAUAAAGAAUGAUUCCAAUUCGGAUUAGAUAGUUUUCAUCAAGUACGAGUGAAUAUACCUCGUACAACAUAAAAAUUACUGCGAGUUAGUUAUCAAAGAAACAAUUGUAGACAACUUCUAAAGAAAUUGUCAUAAGGAACUUGCCAAAAUUGCCAUCACCGAUUUGAGAUGGAUAUAUUUCUGCAAAUGAACAACAAACCAUCAUUGACCAUUGAUGAUCACUUUUAUGAAGAAUGUCUUUGACCAUUCAUCCAAAAAAAAAGCCGUUGAUAAUUUCAUCAAAAAGAUUACCGUUGUGACCCUGCAAGGACCGAUGUCAUCUAGACGAGAAGAGGUUUUCCAAGAAAUAGGAUACUCGAAUAAAAAGAUUCAAAUGUACCAAGCAAGUUUUAAAUAAACUCAUAUCGUAUAUUAUAUGUAGUGUUUCAUAUUAAAAAGUUAAUAAUUGAUGUAAUGCUUUUAUGAAAUUGAUUAAGUUAGUCAAUUAUUUUUACGGCACUAACUUUUAAUAUAUAUUGUACAACAUACAACAAUGAGAUGUUUUGUCAUGAAGAUUGGUUGGAUUUCAACUUCAAUAGUUAUUGUUAAAUGCAGAUGAAAGUGCCUCGUAAAACUUCAUACCAUUGCGGAAAUUAUCAUCAAUUAAUUAUUAACAAAACAACUGUCAACAACUUCUAAAAAGAUUAUCCUAAAGAACUUUGCACAAUUGUUAUUACAAAUCCAGUAAAUUUCUACCAUGUUUAUAUUAAAAAUUAUAGAUGACAUUGAGCACUACAACAUCAACGUUUUACAUAACUUUUUAAAAUUACUUAUACGAUUUAAAUUAUUUACAUUUUUUUUCUGUCAAAAUAUGAUUUGUAAUGGCUAUAUUUUAAAUAGAUUAUUUUUAAUUGAUUUCUUAGAAUAUUUUGGAAAAUUUAAAUUGUUUUUUUAUUUAUUGAAAUAAUAAAAAAUUUGGAAUAUUUAUACAGAUAGGAAGUAAACCAUUAUGGACAAUUGUUUUAUAAAAAAAGUCUUGAACCAAUCAUUGCAAAGGGAUAACUUCAUUGAAGAAACUACUAUUACAACGAGGACCAACAUCUAGACAUAAAGGAAUAUUCCGAAAAAAAGCAUCACUUAUAUAAAUAUAUCUAAAUAUAACAAAUGGACAACAAAUCACCAUCGACAACGUAGUGAAAAGAAAAAAAAAGUUUCAGUGAAUAAAUGUUAUCAGAACUCGAUAGGAAUCUGUCGAAUCAAGCAAGAAAUACAUUAUUUGGAUAAACAAAUUUUAAUUUAACAAUUGUGGGAUUAUUUGAUGCGGUCUUACAAUGCCCGGCCAAGUUUCAAACUAUGGUAAACGCGAACACAGUUAAACAUAGAAAAUGUCAAAAAGAGUAAAUGUCGACGAAUUUUUAAAUUUUGGCAUGUCGUCGUCAAUCGCGUGAAAAAUGCAUCACUGGGGUUUAUUUCCAAGAGAAACAAAUACAUUUUACAAAUUAAAGGAUUCAUAAAAUUGCAGAAAGAGAAUUGAUACAAGAACUAGAUGUUUCACUAUCCCUAAUAACGAAAUAACCAAAUAUUCGUUUUAUUUAUUUCGGAAAUGCAAAAAAAGCUGACGUCCCAGGUAUGGGUUUAGACCAUUGAAGAGCCAAUUGAGAGAGCUUCAAAAUGACGUACUACUCAAUCACCUUGAAGCGGUCGAGAAUGUGUAAAACUACCCCCAAUACUAAAAUAACCAAAUGUUUAUUUUAUUUAUUUCGGACUCGCAAAAAAAGCUGACGUCCCAGGUAACAAAUUAGGCCAUUGAAAAACCGCUUAGAAGAUGCUAGUUUAACAGCAAAAUUUAUCAUCAAUGACUUAUCAAUAAAACGACUUCUGAUAACUUCAAGAGAAAUUACCAUAAGAAAUUUAAAUAAACCAUCAUUGCCAAUUUGGAAAGAAAAUUAUCCAAGUAAAAUAUUAUUUGGAUAAAUGGAUAUAAACACAGUUGCGACGUUAUCCAAUACGGUUCUGCAGUGCCCUUCCGAAUUUGAAUCUAUGGUAUACACAACCAUAUUCGAACACGAAGAAGAGUCGUUGAAGACGCCGAGAUGAGAACAAGAUUUUGGAAUAUCGUCGUUCAUCGCGCAAAGAAUACAUCGCGGGGAUUUAUUUUGAGAAGAAACAGAAAUAUUUCAUACAUAACAUUUGAUUAGGAUACCCAAGAAAUUACGCAAAAGCAAAACAAUACAGAUAAUAGAAAAGUGAGCAUACAGAAAAAUAUUUGAUAUGAUUCAACAACAAGGUGUUUAGUCAUAAAGAAUGAUUCCAAUUCGGAUUAGAUAGUUUUCAUCAAGUACGAGUGAAUAUACCUCGUACAACAUAAAAAUUACUGCGAGUUAGUUAUCAAAGAAACAAUUGUAGACAACUUCUAAAGAAAUUGUCAUAAGGAACUUGCCAAAAUUGCCAUCACCGAUUUGAGAUGGAUAUAUUUCUGCAAAUGAACAACAAACCAUCAUUGACCAUUGAUGAUCACUUUUAUGAAGAAUGUCUUUGACCAUUCAUCCAAAAAAAAAGCCGUUGAUAAUUUCAUCAAAAAGAUUACCGUUGUGACCCUGCAAGGACCGAUGUCAUCUAGACGAGAAGAGGUUUUCCAAGAAAUAGGAUACUCGAAUAAAAAGAUUCAAAUGUACCAAGCAAGUUUUAAAUAAACUCAUAUCGUAUAUUA